UGCCCAAACUCCUACGGGAGGCUGCAGUCGAGAAUCUUUCGCAAUGGGCGAAAGCCUGACGAAGCGACGCUGCGUGAGUGAUGAAGGCUUUCGGGUUGUAAAACUCUUUCGCGCAAGAGCAAAGUGAAUUAGUGAAUAACUGAGUCAUAUGAGAGUACUGCG
This 162-nucleotide ribosomal RNA is filed under the name uncultured Chlamydiales bacterium. RNAcentral describes it as "partial 16S ribosomal RNA". It matches the Rfam family "Bacterial small subunit ribosomal RNA", at positions 328 to 482 of the family's 1533-position model. The record is from RNAcentral. Lineage: Bacteria; Pseudomonadati; Chlamydiota; Chlamydiia; Chlamydiales.